UGAUUUUGGUCGCCAACGAGUGGCGGACGGGUGAGUAACACGUAGGUAACCUGCCCAGAAGCGGGGGACAACAUUUGGAAACAGAUGCUAAUACCGCAUAACAACGUUGUUCGCAUGAACAACGCUUAAAAGAUGGCUUCUCGCUAUCACUUCUGGAUGGACCUGCGGUGCAUUAGCUUGUUGGUGGGGUAAUGGCCUACCAAGGCGAUGAUGCAUAGCCGAGUUGAGAGACUGAUCGGCCACAAUGGGACUGAGACACGGCCCAUACUCCUACGGGAGGCAGCAGUAGGGAAUCUUCCACAAUGGGCGCAAGCCUGAUGGAGCAACACCGCGUGAGUGAAGAAGGGUUUCGGCUCGUAAAGCUCUGUUGUUAAAGAAGAACACGUAUGAGAGUAACUGUUCAUACGUUGACGGUAUUUAACCAGAAAGUCACGGCUAACUACGUGCCAGCAGCCGCGGUAAUACGUAGGUGGCAAGCGUUAUCCGGAUUUAUUGGGCGUAAAGAGAGUGCAGGCGGUUUUCUAAGUCUGAUGUGAAAGCCUUCGGCUUAACCGGAGAAGUGCAUCGGAAACUGGAUAACUUGAGUGCAGAAGAGGGUAGUGGAACUCCAUGUGUAGCGGUGGAAUGCGUACAUAUAUGGAAGAACACCAGUGGCGAAGGCGGCUACCUGGUCUGCAACUGACGCUGAGACUCGAAAGCAUGGGUAGCGAACAGGAUUAGAUACCCUGGUAGUCCAUGCCGUAAACGAUGAGUGCUAGGUGUUGGAGGGUUUCCGCCCUUCAGUGCCGGAGCUAACGCAUUAAGCACUCCGCCUGGGGAGUACGACCGCAAGGUUGAAACUCAAAGGAAUUGACGGGGGCCCGCACAAGCGGUGGAGCAUGUGGUUUAAUUCGAAGCUACGCGAAGAACCUUACCAGGUCUUGACAUCUUGCGCCAACCCUAGAGAUAGGGCGUUUCCUUCGGGAACGCAAUGACAGGUGGUGCAUGGUCGUCGUCAGCUCGUGUCGUGAGAUGUUGGGUUAAGUCCCGCAACGAGCGCAACCCUUGUUACUAGUUGCCAGCAUUAAGUUGGGCACUCUAGUGAGACUGCCGGUGACAAACCGGAGGAAGGUGGGGACGACGUCAGAUCAUCAUGCCCCUUAUGACCUGGGCUACACACGUGCUACAAUGGACGGUACAACGAGUCGCGAACUCGCGAGGGCAAGCAAAUCUCUUAAAACCGUUCUCAGUUCGGACUGCAGGCUGCAACUCGCCUGCACGAAGUCGGAAUCGCUAGUAAUCGCGGAUCAGCAUGCCGCGGUGAA
This 1304-nucleotide ribosomal RNA is filed under the name Limosilactobacillus fermentum. Its description in RNAcentral is "bacterial SSU rRNA". It matches the Rfam family "Bacterial small subunit ribosomal RNA", at positions 75 to 1366 of the family's 1533-position model. The record is from RNAcentral. Lineage: Bacteria; Bacillati; Bacillota; Bacilli; Lactobacillales; Lactobacillaceae.